This 253-nucleotide unclassified non-coding RNA is filed under the name uncultured Caryophanales bacterium. RNAcentral's name for it is "uncultured Bacillales bacterium contains 16S-23S intergenic spacer region". It matches the Rfam family "Bacterial small subunit ribosomal RNA", at positions 524 to 776 of the family's 1533-position model. Lineage: Bacteria; Bacillati; Bacillota; Bacilli; Caryophanales. The record is from RNAcentral.
UACGUAGGGGGCAAGCGUUGUCCGGAAUUAUUGGGCGUAAGGCGCUCGCAGGCGGUCCUUUGAGUCUGAUGUGAAAUCUCGCGGCUCAACCGCGAACGGUCAUUGGAAACUGGAGGACUUGAGUACAGAAGAGGAGAGUGGAAUUCCACGUGUAGCGGUGAAAUGCGUAGUGAUGUGGAGGAAUACCAGUGGCGAAGGCGACUCUCUGGUCUGUAACUGACGCUGAGGAGCGAAAGCGUAGGGAGCGAACAGG